Molecule: ribosomal RNA, 464 nt
Filed under: uncultured bacterium
Lineage: Bacteria
Description: bacterial SSU rRNA
Rfam family: Bacterial small subunit ribosomal RNA
Source: RNAcentral
AAUGAACGUUGGCGGCGUGGAUUAGGCAUGCAAGUCGAGCGCUCAUAGCAAUAUGGGAGCGGCGAACGGCGUAGUAAUAUGUAGGAACGUACCCUCGGGGUCGGGGAUAGCCAGUGGGAAACUGGUGGGUAAUACCCGAUAAUCUCUGCGGAGCAAAGGUGUGAUUCCGCCUGAGGAGCGGCCUACACGAUAUUAGCUAGUUGGUAGGGUAAUGGCCUACCAAGGCUACGAUGUCGUAGGGGGUGUGAGAGCAUGGCCCCCACGACCGGAACUGAGAUACUGUCCGGACACCUACGGGUGGCUGCAGUCGAGAAUCUUCCGCAAUGGACGAAAGUCUGACGGAGCGACGCCGCGUGCGGGAUGAAGGCCCUCGGGUUGUAAACCGCUGUCAGAGGGGAUGAAAUCUUCGGAGGUACUCCUCCGAAGUUGACAGAGCCUCAAAGGAAGCACGGGCUAAGUACGUG